RNAcentral lists this small RNA (254 nucleotides) under Saimiri boliviensis boliviensis (Bolivian squirrel monkey). RNAcentral describes it as "Metazoan signal recognition particle RNA (ENSSBOG00000006944.1)". Lineage: Eukaryota; Metazoa; Chordata; Mammalia; Primates; Cebidae. The record is from RNAcentral.
GCUGAGCACGGUGGUGCACUGCUGUAGUCCUAGCUACUUGGGAGGCCGAGGUGGGAGGAUAGCUUGAGCCCAGGAGUUCAGGGUUGCAGUGAGCUGUGAUGGGGUCUCUGUACUCUAGCCUGGGCAACAUAGUGAGACCCCUGUCUGUACAAACAAAAUUAGCCAGGCAUGGUGGCACAGGAGGUUAAGCCUGCAGUGAGCUAUGAUUGGACCACUGUACUCCAGCCUGGGCAACAGAGUGAGACCCUAUCUCU